GACGAACGCUGGCGGCGUGCUUAACACAUGCAAGUCGAACGGAAAGGCCCUGCUUUUGUGGGGUGCUCGAGUGGCGAACGGGUGAGUAACACGUGAGUAACCUGCCCUUAACUUUGGGAUAACUUCAGGAAACUGGGGCUAAUACCGCAUAGGAGCUCCUGCAGCAUGUUGGGGGUUGGAAAGUUUCGGCGGUGGGGGAUGGACUCGCGGCUUAUCAGCUGGUUGGUGGGGUAGGUGCUUACCAAGGCUUUGAAGGGUAGCCGGCCUGGGAGGGUGACCGGCCACAUUGGGACUGAGAUACGGCCCAGAAGCCUACGGGAGGCAGCAGUGGGGAAUAUUGCACAAUGGGCGGAAGCCUGAUGCAGCAACGCCGCGUGCGGGAUGACGGCCUUCGGGUUGUAAACCGCUUUCGCCUGUGACGAAGCGUGAGUGACGGUAAUGGGUAAAGAAGCACCGGCUAACUACGUG
Molecule: ribosomal RNA, 468 nt
Filed under: uncultured bacterium
Lineage: Bacteria
Description: partial 16S ribosomal RNA
Rfam family: Bacterial small subunit ribosomal RNA
Source: RNAcentral